GAUAAAAUGGCUGAUUUAAGGUAAUAAACUGUAAAUUUAUUCAUGAGUAAGAACUCUUUUAUCA
RNAcentral lists this transfer RNA (64 nucleotides) under Micrambe villosus. RNAcentral describes it as "tRNA-Tyr". Lineage: Eukaryota; Metazoa; Arthropoda; Insecta; Coleoptera; Cryptophagidae. The record is from RNAcentral.